This 363-nucleotide unclassified non-coding RNA is filed under the name Hevea brasiliensis (rubber tree). The record is from RNAcentral. Lineage: Eukaryota; Viridiplantae; Streptophyta; Magnoliopsida; Malpighiales; Euphorbiaceae.
GGGAAGCUACAUUUCACCACCAUAUAUAGUAGCUCUAUCAAAAUAUUGCUAGUAUAAAUUAACACACCAACAAAUUCAAGGCAGUAAAAACAGCCAGCUCUCUCUACUAUGAAAGCAGAAAAUGAGGAGCAUUAUGGUGCUAUCUUAAUACUAUACUUUUAGUUUUUUCUUUCAGUCGUUCGAUCACCUGCAUAAGCAUUGUUACUCAUCAGCUCAUCUGUUUUACAGAUCUUUUAUUUGUAACUUCCCUCGAACUUCUGUUACUUCGUUACUAACUUCCACUCCUUUCCCAUCAAUAUUCAGCCCUUGCCUGAGGGCUAGUUUUCCAUUUACGGUUUCUGUUUUGUUUUUUUUCGUUUUUUU